RNAcentral lists this ribosomal RNA (507 nucleotides) under uncultured bacterium. RNAcentral describes it as "partial 16S ribosomal RNA". It matches the Rfam family "Bacterial small subunit ribosomal RNA", at positions 28 to 507 of the family's 1533-position model. The record is from RNAcentral.
GACGAACGCUGGCGGCGUGCCUAAUACAUGCAAGUCGAGCGCAUUUUCGUUCACCGUAGCUUGCUACACCUAAAGAAAGUGAGGGGCGAACGGGGUAGUAACACGUCGUUAACGUGCCCAUUAACUUGGGGUAACAGGUGGUAACACGUGCUAAUACAGCAUAAUUCCAGUUACCGCAUGGAAGGUCGGUGAAACGCGCUUUUGCGGCACGGAUGGAGGGACCCGCGGUGCAUUAGCUGGUUGGGGAUGUAACGGCCUACCAAGGCUGAGAAGCAUAGCCGACCUGGGAGGGUGAUCGGCCAACCUGGGACUUGGACCCGGCUCAGACUCCUAAGGGAGGCAGCAGUAGGGAAUCCUCGGCAAUGGACGCAAGUCUGACCGGGCCACGCCGCGUGAGUGAAGGAGGUUUUCGGAUCGUAAAACUCUGUUGUUAGAGAAGAACAAGGAUGAGAGUGGAAAGUUCAUCCCUUGACGGUAUCUAACCAGAAAGCCACGGCUAACUACGUG